RNAcentral lists this unclassified non-coding RNA (140 nucleotides) under Yunzhangia sonckii. Its description in RNAcentral is "ITS 1". Lineage: Eukaryota; Fungi; Basidiomycota; Microbotryomycetes; Chrysozymaceae. The record is from RNAcentral.
AUGAAUUUAGAGUAACUCUUUGAGUGCUCAACCCUUCAUUUCCCACUCUGUGCAUUUUUGGGCGAUACAAGGUGAAACUUGUUAUUGCCCCCCUUAUAUAAACCCUAGUUAAAGUAUGUAAUUUAAAUAUAAAAUCUAAA